AUGUUUUGGUUGGACCACUGGGCGGGCGGACAUUCGCAGCGCACGGAGUUCCCUAACCUGUUCACCAUCUGUGUGGAUCCGGCGCUACCAGUCUCCGUGGGGCUUCAAGACGGGCAUUGGAAUAUCUUGUUUCGUCGCUCUUUUGGGCCUGCGGAGGUGUUGGAGUGGGACACUCUGUGUGCGGCCUUGCAUCCCGUGCUCUCGGCUGGACCAGACUCGGCAUCUUGGAGGUUCACGCCUCUGGGUGUUUUUUCCGUUGCGUCGGCUUACCAUUUGUUGUGUCAUAGGCCGACUAUUGCAUGGGUCGCCCCCUUAUGGAAGGCGCCCCUUCCCUUGAAGAUCAAAAUUUUCCCGUGGCAAUUGUUCAUGGGCCGCCUUCCUUCGGGUACGGAGGUGCUCAAGAGGAAUGGCCCAGGUGAUGGGUUAUGUUCUCUUUGUGGGGUUCUCAAGACAGAGACCCACAUCCUCUUCUCUUGCAUGGUGACUCGUUCAUUAUGGAGUUUUGUCCGAGAGGCACUAGGGCCAGAUUGGGAGGCUUCGGACUUAACCGGAUUCCUCCAGGCUAGAGCGGUCCAGACUGGGAGGAAAAGGCGCCUCUUCUGGAUAGUUUUUGUGGCGUUAGCAUGGAUGCUUUGGACGACGCGUAAUAAGAUGGUGAUCGAGCGGAUCUUCCUUCGGUGGGCCUCUGACUCGUUCUUCAAGUUUUCUUGCGUUCUUGCAACACUGGUACCCAUUGGUUAG
RNAcentral lists this ribosomal RNA (741 nucleotides) under Triticum aestivum (bread wheat). Its description in RNAcentral is "partial small subunit ribosomal RNA". Lineage: Eukaryota; Viridiplantae; Streptophyta; Magnoliopsida; Poales; Poaceae. The record is from RNAcentral.